AUAGACUGAGCUGUUUGCCUUAGUUUCUCAUCUGUACAGUGAUCUGAAGGAAGAUAUGGCAAGCCAUUCCAAUAGCUUUGCCAAGAAACUAUAAAAAAAGAGGUCACAAAAAAUUGGAUGUGACUGAAAAUGACUAAACUAUAAUAACAACAGCCGUGCCUGGCACAUAGGAAAUCUUAUAUAAAUGUUAGCUAUAUUAUCAUUAUUACUAGGCUUUGGAUGUUUGAUUAUUUUUAUAUGUAUAUUCCUAUCUCCAACAUGUUCCAGUAUAUUUGGGAGUUAUGUUCCUGCAAACUCUGUGCAUUAAGGGAUUCCAAGGUGAACUUAAGGACAUCUUGCUGCAUGAGGUCUGAGGACACUGAAAACUGGCUACCAAGGAGAAGUAGCAGGCUGGUAAAUACAAGGUAG
RNAcentral lists this long non-coding RNA (408 nucleotides) under Sarcophilus harrisii (Tasmanian devil). Its description in RNAcentral is "lncRNA (ENSSHAG00000028834.1)". Lineage: Eukaryota; Metazoa; Chordata; Mammalia; Dasyuromorphia; Dasyuridae. The record is from RNAcentral.